This 775-nucleotide ribosomal RNA is filed under the name uncultured bacterium. RNAcentral's name for it is "bacterial SSU rRNA". It matches the Rfam family "Bacterial small subunit ribosomal RNA", at positions 31 to 823 of the family's 1533-position model. The record is from RNAcentral.
GAACGUUGGCGGCGUGGAUUAGGCAUGCAAGUCGAGCGAUAAUUUUUGAAUUGAAACUUCGGUCGAGAUUCAGAAAGGACAGCGGCGAAAGGGAGAGUAACGAGUAGAUACGUACCCAGAGGAUCGGAAUAGCGGGGGGAAACCGCCGGUAAAGCCGAAUAAUGUCUCAGGACCAAAAAUUUAUUGCCUUUGGAUCGGUCUGCUUACUAUUAGCUUGUUGGUGGGGUAAUGGCCUACCAAGGCGAAGAUGGUUAGCGGGUGUGAGAGCAUGGCCCGUCUCACUGGGACUGAGAUACUGCCCAGACACCUACGGGUGGCUGCAGUCGAGAAUCUUCCGCAAUGGGGGAAACCCUGACGGAGCGACGCCGCGUGCGGGAUGAAGGCCUUCGGGUUGUAAACCGCUGUCAGAGGGGAGGAAAUUUUGACCGAUCCUCAGAGGAAGCACAGGCUAAAUUCGUGCCAGCAGCCGCGGUAAUACGAAUUGUGCGAACGUUAUUCGGAAUCACUGGGCUUAAAGGGUGCGUAGGCGGCAAUGAAGGUCUGAUGUGAAAUCCCACGGCUCAACCGUGGAAUGGCGUUGGAAACCACAUUGCUUGAGGAGAUCAGAGGUAAGCGGAACUGAUGGUGGAGCGGUGAAAUGCGUUGAUAUCAUCAGGAACACCGGUGGCGAAAGCGGCUUGCUGGGAUCUUUCUGACGCUGAGGCACGAAAGCCAGGGGAGUGAACGGGAUUAGAUACCCCGGUAAUCCUGGCCGUAAACGAUCAGUACUAGUCCG